Molecule: long non-coding RNA, 495 nt
Filed under: Trifolium pratense (red clover)
Lineage: Eukaryota; Viridiplantae; Streptophyta; Magnoliopsida; Fabales; Fabaceae
Description: long non-coding RNA (TPRA_LNC001745)
Source: RNAcentral
GCCAACUUUGUUUUUUCAUUACUAAAUAUUAUCAGAUUCAGCAGAAAAAUGACAGAAAUAGUGAGAAAUUCAAUAACAAAACCCAAAUAUUUUCAAAAUCCAAAACCCAAAUAUUACUUCCAUUUUUUCAUCUUCUUCCUCAAGUCCUUCAUUACUUCCCUUCAUCAAAACUCUUUACUUUUCUUCCUCUUCACUUUCUUCUUGUUCUUCACUUUCUCCAUCUUCUUCCUCUUCACUUUCUUCAUCUUCAUCUUACUUUCUUCAUCUUCAUCAAAUCUUCAUAACAAAAAAAUCCAGAAAAUUAAAAAUCAAAACCCAAAUAUUUUCAAAAUCCAAAACCCAGAAGCAAUGAGUCAAAGCUGCACCUUUGAUAUAUUUCUCAACAAUCUACACAAAACAUAAACAAACCCAUAAAAUUCUGUUCAUGAAUAAAAAGUUUUUUUGGAUGUUUACCAUAAACAAACCCAUAAAAUUCUUCAAGGUAGUAAUAAAGGA